RNAcentral lists this ribosomal RNA (274 nucleotides) under uncultured bacterium. RNAcentral's name for it is "partial 16S ribosomal RNA". It matches the Rfam family "Bacterial small subunit ribosomal RNA", at positions 523 to 796 of the family's 1533-position model. The record is from RNAcentral.
CUACGGAGGGGGUUAGCGUUGUUCGGAAUUACUGGGCGUAAAGCGCACGUAGGCGGACUGGAAAGUUGGGGGUGAAAUCCCGGGGCCCAACCCCGGAACUGCCUCCAAAACUUCCAAUCUAGAGAUCGAGAGAGGUGAGUGGAAUUCCAAGUGUAGAGGUGAAAUUCGUAGAUAUUUGGAGGAACACCAGUGGCGAAGGCGGCUCACUGGCUCGAUACUGACGCUGAGGUGCGAAAGCGUGGGGAGCAAACAGGAUUAGAAACCCCAGUAGUCC